Molecule: long non-coding RNA, 2787 nt
Filed under: Homo sapiens (human)
Lineage: Eukaryota; Metazoa; Chordata; Mammalia; Primates; Hominidae
Description: SAP30L and GALNT10 antisense RNA 1
Source: RNAcentral
ACUUCCUGGACUCUGCUGGGAUGGGUUCAAAGUAGAGAAAGUGGAAGAGGAAAGAGUUACCCCAGCGAGAACCGGGAACCGGGCUGCAGACUCUCCGGCCCGGGGGAGGGAUGAGUUUCACUCUGGUUGCCCAGGCUGGAGUGCAAUGGCGCGAUCUCGGCUCACCGCAACCUCUGCCUCCCGGAUUCAAGCGAUUCUCCUGCUUCAGCCUCCCGAGUAGCUGGGAUUACAGGACCUGGGAAAGCUUCCUCCAGCCCUGAUGCUGGCCUGCAGUAUGGCACUUGACAGCUACUGGUAUUGUGGAUAGAAGCAAAGGCUCUGGACUCAGCAACACUUGGUUUGAAUUCCAGUUCUACCACUUACUAGCUGUGGUGCUGCUGACAACUUAAACUCCAUGAACCUCAGUUUUCUUCAUCUGUAAGGUGGGAUAACAGUACUUCUCUAAUAGGGAUAUUGUGAGGAUCAAAUAUGAUGAUCUAAAGCAGUUAGCACAAUAUCUUGCACAUAGUAAGUGCUUAAUAAGUGGCAGUUAUUAUUUCAUACAUUAUAAGGUGAUACCCCUGAACUUCCAUUGUAUCCAGAUUCAGAUUUCUGCAUGUUAAAGGACACAUCAUAUUGCAAGACGAUAGGGUGGUACUGCCUAUCAGCCAAUUGUGUAGGCUCCAGAUCCAUCAGCACAGCAAUGAUUGGGAAAGUACUUGAUUAUUCCAUGUUAUCCUCAUUUUAUAAAAUUUUGUCAGUGGAAAAUGGAAGUACCAAUAGUAGUGAUAAGAAGUAUGCAUCUGUCAAGUAAGUGAAAAUACAACCCACUGAAUGGGAGAAAAUGUUUGCAAAUCAUAUAUAAGGCAGUGGUCCACAACCUUUUUGGUACCAGGGACCGGUUUUGUGGAAGACAAUUUUUCCACGGUUGGGGGUGGGGAGGGGGUUGGGGGUGAGUGGGGAUGAUUUCAGGAUGAAACUGCUCCAUCUCAGAUCAUCAGGCAUUAGAUUCUCACAAGGAGCACCCAACCUAGAUCCCUCCCAAGUGCAGUUCCCAGUGGGGUUCACACUCCUGUGAAAAUCUAAUGCUGCCGAAGAUUUGACUGGAGGCAGAGCUCAGGUGCUAAUGCUCCCUUGCCUGCUGCUCACCUCCUGCUGUAUGGCCCCAUUCCCAACCAGUACCUCUCCAUGCAGGUGUGGGGAGGCAAUGCGGUGUGGGGAGGCAAUGCGGUGUGGGGGUGUUGGGAACUGCUAUGAUAAGGAACUUGUAUUCAGAAUAUAUGCAGAACUCUUAUUACUCAAUAAUAAAGAGACAAAUAACCCAAUUGAAAAGUGGGCUAAGGGUUUGAAUAGACAUUUCUCCAAAGAAGAUAAACAAAUGGCCAAUAAGCCCAUGCAAAGAUGCUCAACAUCCUAAUCACCAGGGAUAUCAGAAGGGAAAUGCAAAUCAAACCUGCAAUUAGGUAUUACUUCACACCUACUAGGAUGGCUGUAGCCAAUAAGACAGACAAUAACAAGUGUUGACAAGGAUGUGGAGAAAUUGAAACCUACAUAUAUUGCUGGUAGGAAUGCAAAAUGGUAAAACACUUUGCAAAACAGUGUAUCAAUUCCUCAAAAAAAAUUUUUUUUUUUUUGAGACGGAGUCUCUUGUCACUGAGGCUGGAAUGCAGUGGCAUGAUAUCAGCUCACUGCAACAUCCACCUCGUGGGUUCAAGUGAUUCUCCUGCCUCAGCCUCCCAAGUAGCUGGGAUUACAGGCACCUGCCAUCAUGCCCGGCUAAUUUUUGUAUUUUUAGUACAGACGGGGUUUCACCAUGUUGGCCAGGCUGAUCUUGAUCCUGACCUCAGGUGAUCCACCCACCUCGGCCUCCUAAAGUGUUGGGAUUACAGGCAUGAGCCACCUCACCCAGCCCAAUUCCUCAAAAUUUUAAAAUAGAGUUACUUUAUUAAUCAGCAAUUUCACUCUUAGGUAUCUGCCCAAGAGAAAUGAAACAAUUCAUCCACACAAACACUUUUACAUGAAUGUUAACAGCAGCAUUAUUCACAAUAGCCAAAAGGUGGAAACAGCUCAAAUAUCCAUCAACUGAUGAAAGGAUAAACAAAAUGUGGUAUAUUCACACAAUGAAAUAUUAAUGAUACAAAGGAAGUGCUGACACAUGCUGCAACAUAGAUGAACUUUGAAAAUAUGCUAAAUGAAAGCAGUUACAAAAGACCACAUAAUGCAUGAUUUGAUUUAUGUAAAUGUCCAGAAAGGGCAAAUCCAUAGAUACACUAUAGAAAAUAGAUUAGUCGUUGUCAGAGGCUAAAGAGAGUAGGGAGGAUUGGGAUGGGGAGUGACUUAUGGGUACAGGGUUUCUUUUAGGGGGACAAAGAUAUUUUGGAAUUAGUAGUGAUGGUUGCACAACCUAGUAAAUAUACUAAAAUAUAUGAAAUUGUACAUUUUCAAUGGGUGAAUUAUGUAGUAUACGUGAUUUAUAUCUCAACAAAAAGGAGUUUAAAAAGAAGUAUGUGUAUCAUUGACUCUUUCGAUAUAAACAUAGAAAUCAUUAGACUUAUCGAAAGGGAUGAAUCUUUAGCCUCCAUGGGAUGUUCUUAAGCCUAUUGCUGUUUUUUGAUUUGUGAAGGAAAAUAAUCAAAUUGAAGGUACAUUAGGAAGGACAGCAAACAUAUGAUCAGCGAUUGUGUCUAAAAAUGCAGGUGUAAUUGGACAUGCUGUACCACUUUUUAUUCCCAACAUAAAUUUGUUGUUUGACUUUUGUACUUUUGACAUUAGUAAUAUUUUCUGAAAUAAAUUGUGUAUGGAAGCAGG